Molecule: non-coding RNA, 21 nt
Filed under: Caenorhabditis elegans
Lineage: Eukaryota; Metazoa; Nematoda; Chromadorea; Rhabditida; Rhabditidae
Source: RNAcentral
UGAAAACUCAGAACUGGAAAA